This 475-nucleotide ribosomal RNA is filed under the name uncultured bacterium. Its description in RNAcentral is "bacterial SSU rRNA". It matches the Rfam family "Bacterial small subunit ribosomal RNA", at positions 28 to 507 of the family's 1533-position model. The record is from RNAcentral.
GAUGAACGCUAGCGGCAGGCCUAAUACAUGCAAGUCAAGGGGCCCAGCAAUGGGCACGGCGGACGGGUGCGUAACGCGUACACAACAUACCUUUAAGUGGGGGGAUAGCAUUGGGAAACUGAUGGUAAUACCCCAUAACUAAUUCAGGGGAGGCAUUUCCCUGGAUUUAAAGCUCCGGCGCUUUAGAGAUUGGUGUGCGUCUGAUUAGCUUGUUGGCGGGGUAACGGCCCACCAAGGCGACGAUCAGUAGGGGUUCUGAGAGGAAGGUCCCCCACAUUGGAACUGAGACACGGUCCAAACUCCUACGGGGAGGCAGCAGUGAGGAAUAUUGGUCAAUGGGACGAGAGUCUGAACCAGCCAAGUAGCGUGCAGGAUGACGGCCCUAUGGGUUGUAAACUGCUUUUAUAAGGGAAUAAAGUGAGUCUCGUGAGACUUUUUGCAUGUACCUUAUGAAUAAGGACCGGCCAAUUCCGUG